GUGUCAGCAGCCGCGGUAAUACGGAGGGUGCAAGCGUUGUUCGGAAUCAUUGGGCGUAAAGCGCGUGUAGGCGGCUUUUUAAGUUUGGUGUGAAAGCCCGGGGCUUAACCCCGGAAGUGCACUGAAUACUGAUUAGCUAGAGGGUGAGAGAGGAUAGUGGAAUUCCUGGUGUAGGGGUGAAAUCCGUAGAUAUCAGGAGGAACAUCUGUGGCGAAGGCGGCUAUCUGGCUCACUUCUGACGCUGAGACGCGAAAGCGUGGGGAGCAAACAGGAUUAGAAACCCUCGUAGUCC
RNAcentral lists this ribosomal RNA (292 nucleotides) under uncultured bacterium. RNAcentral describes it as "partial 16S ribosomal RNA". It matches the Rfam family "Bacterial small subunit ribosomal RNA", at positions 505 to 796 of the family's 1533-position model. The record is from RNAcentral.